AACGCUAGCUACAGGCUUAACACAUGCAAGUCGAGGGGCAGCAUAAAAGUAGCAAUACUUUGGUGGCGACCGGCGCACGGGUGAGUAACGCGUAUGCAACCUACCUAUCAGAGGGGGAUAACCCGGCGAAAGUCGGACUAAUACCGCAUAAAACAGGGGCACCGCAUGGUGAUAUUUGUUAAAAAUUUAUUGCUGAUAGAUGGGCAUGCGUUCCAUUAGGUAGUUGGAGAGGUAACGGCUCACCAAGCCCACGAUGGAUAGGGGAACUGAGAGGCUGGUCCCCCACACUGGUACUGAGACGCGGACCAGACUCCUACGGGAGGCAGCAGUGAGGAAUAUUGGUCAAUGGGCGAGAGCCUGAACCAGCCGAGUCGCGUGAAGGAAGAAGGAUCUAUGGUUCGUAAACUUCUUUUGCAGGGGAAUAAAGUGCAGGACGUGUCCUGUUUUGUAUGUACCCUGAGAAUAAGGAUCGGCUAACUCCGUGCCAGCAGCCGCGGUAAUACGGAGGAUCCGAGCGUUAUCCGGAUUUAUUGGGUUUAAAGGGUGCGUAGGUGGUUUAAUAAGUCAGCGGUGAAAGUUUGCAGCUUAACUGUAAAAAUGCCGUUGAAACUGUUAGACUUGAGUGUAAAUGAGGUAGGCGGAAUGCGUGGUGUAGCGGUGAAAUGCUUAGAUAUCACGAAGAACUCCGAUUG
This 692-nucleotide ribosomal RNA is filed under the name uncultured bacterium. Its description in RNAcentral is "bacterial SSU rRNA". It matches the Rfam family "Bacterial small subunit ribosomal RNA", at positions 32 to 715 of the family's 1533-position model. The record is from RNAcentral.